RNAcentral lists this ribosomal RNA (440 nucleotides) under uncultured bacterium. RNAcentral describes it as "partial 16S ribosomal RNA". It matches the Rfam family "Bacterial small subunit ribosomal RNA", at positions 338 to 795 of the family's 1533-position model. The record is from RNAcentral.
CCUACGGGAGGCAGCAGUGGGGGAUAUUGCACAAUGGGGGGAACCCUGAUGCAGCGACGCCGCGUGGGUGAAGAAGCGCCUCGGCGCGUAAAGCCCUGUCAGCAGGGAAGAAAAUGACGGUACCUGAAGAAGAAGCCCCGGCUAACUACGUGCCAGCAGCCGCGGUAAUACGUAGGGGGCAAGCGUUAUCAGGAUAUACUGGGUGGAAAGGGGGCGCAGACGGCGAUGCAAGCCAGGAGUGAAAGCCCGGGGCCCAACCCCGGGACUGAUCUUGGAACUGCGUGGCUGGAGUGCAGGAGGGGCAGGCGGAAUGCCUGGUGUAGCGGUGAAAUGCGUAGAUAUCAGGAGGAACACCGGUGGCGAAGGCGGCCUGCUGGACUGCAACUGACGUUGAGGCCCGAAAGCGUGGGGAGCAAACAGGAUUAGAUACCCCGGUAGUC